CGUUAUCCGGAAUUAUUGGGCGUAAAGCGCGCGUAGGCGGUUUUUAAGUCUGAUGUGAAAGCCCACGGCUCAACCGUGGAGGGUCAUUGGAAACUGGAAAACUUGAGUGCAGAAGAGGAAAGUGGAAUUCCAUGUGUAGCGGUGAAAUGCGCAGAGAUAUGGAGGAACACCAGUGGCGAAGGCGACUUUCUGGUCUGUAACUGACGCUGAUGUGCGAAAGCGUGGGGAUCAAACAGGAUUAGAUACCCUGGUAGUCAAGGGCG
RNAcentral lists this ribosomal RNA (263 nucleotides) under uncultured Staphylococcus sp. Its description in RNAcentral is "partial 16S ribosomal RNA". It matches the Rfam family "Bacterial small subunit ribosomal RNA", at positions 539 to 802 of the family's 1533-position model. Lineage: Bacteria; Bacillati; Bacillota; Bacilli; Caryophanales; Staphylococcaceae. The record is from RNAcentral.